AUUGAACGCUGGCGGAAUGCUUUACGCAUGCAAGUCGAACGGCAGCACGGGGCAACCUGGUGGCGAGUGGCGAACGGGUGAGUAAUACAUCGGAACGUGCCCAAUCGUGGGGGAUAACGUAGCGAAAGUUACGCUAAUACCGCAUACGAUCUACGGAUGAAAGCGGGGGAUCGCAAGACCUCGCGCGAAUGGAGCGGCCGAUGUCAGAUUAGGUAGUUGGUGGGGUAAAGGCUCACCAAGCCGACGAUCUGUAGCUGGUCUGAGAGGACGACCAGCCACACUGGGACUGAGACACGGCCCAGACUCCUACGGGAGGCAGCAGUGGGGAAUUUUGGACAAUGGGCGCAAGCCUGAUCCAGCCAUUCCGCGUGCAGGAUGAAGGCCUUCGGGUUGUAAACUGCUUUGUUACGGAACGAAAAGGACUCUGGUUAAUACCGGGGCUCAUGACGGUACCGUAAGAAUAAGACACCGGCUAACUACGUGCCAGCAGCCGCGGUAA
RNAcentral lists this ribosomal RNA (499 nucleotides) under uncultured bacterium. Its description in RNAcentral is "bacterial SSU rRNA". It matches the Rfam family "Bacterial small subunit ribosomal RNA", at positions 30 to 523 of the family's 1533-position model. The record is from RNAcentral.